Molecule: ribosomal RNA, 630 nt
Filed under: Alloiococcus otitis
Lineage: Bacteria; Bacillati; Bacillota; Bacilli; Lactobacillales; Carnobacteriaceae
Description: bacterial SSU rRNA
Rfam family: Bacterial small subunit ribosomal RNA
Source: RNAcentral
GAGUGGCGAACGGGUGAGUAACACGUGAGGAACUUGCCAAUAAGAGGGGGAUAACACCCGGAAACGGGUGCUAAUACCGCAUAAGUUUUCCCAGUGCAUGCUGGGAAAAUAAAAGGUGGCUCUGCUACCGCUUAUGGAUAGCCUCGCGGCGCAUUAGCUAGUUGGUAGGGUAAAGGCCUACCAAGGCCAUGAUGCGUAGCCGACUUGAGAGGGUGAUCGGCCACACUGGAACUGAGACACGGUCCAGACUCCUACGGGAGGCAGCAGUAGGGAAUCUUCCACAAUGGGUGCAAGCCUGAUGGAGCAAUGCCGCGUGAGUGAAGAAGGACUUCGUUUCGUAAAGCUCUGUUGUUGGGGAAGAACACGGAUAGGAGUCACUGCCUGUCCCUUGACGGUACCCAACCAGAAAGUCACGGCUAACUACGUGCCAGCAGCCGCGGUAAUACGUAGGUGACAAGCGUUGUCCGGAUUUAUUGGGCGUAAAGCGAGCGCAGGCGGUCCGGUAAGUCUGAUGUGAAAGCCCACGGCUCAACCGUGGAACGGCAUUGGAAACUGGCGGACUUGAAUGUAGCAGAGGAAAGUGGAAUUCCAUGUGUAGCGGUGGAAUGCGUAGAUAUAUGGAGGAACACC